Long non-coding RNA from Spinacia oleracea (spinach), 903 nucleotides. RefSeq lists it as uncharacterized. Lineage: Eukaryota; Viridiplantae; Streptophyta; Magnoliopsida; Caryophyllales; Amaranthaceae. The transcript is spliced from 4 exons. The record is from RefSeq and is a predicted model, not a curated record.
ACAGUUAAUACAUUUACUCCGAUUUCAUCGGAUACCAGGUACUCCAUAUUUCCACCUCCACCUUCUCUCACCAUCAAAAUCCUAUAAACUAAUACUAUUCUCCUCCUUCCUUCCCUCGCCUCUCAACCUCCCCAAAAAUAAAAUCAGUGAUAUAAUUUGUGGGAAAUGAGCAAAAUAAGUUGGGAUUGAAUACGAGAAGAAGAUCUUCAAGUAAUUAAGAUACUAGAAAGCACAUCUAAUUAAUUUGCCUCAUCAUCAAGUUCUACAAUUUUUAUGCUCAUCAAAUCCACUGUCAAAACUUCCCCAAAGCUAUGGAUUUCGGCUAAAAAUUUAAAGGCAUGAGUACUUGUGUUAGUAUUGUGUCAAUUUGAGAAAUGAGGCUUAUGAGCUAUGAAGCACGGGUAACGCAGUUUAGUGAGGUAUCCGUACCGGGUACCUCUCGGGUACGGGUACCUCAUGGGUACGUACGAGAUUCGUAUUCAAAUAUUGGGUACGGUCAACUUAAAUGGGUACGGUCAACACCAUUUCUGGAGAACGUAGGGCGUGAGAAUACCUACUAGUGUUCGUGUGUGCAAUUUGUGAGACUAGCUUACCAAGGUAUGCGUGACACGUCAUGAGCGACCGUUUCACAACUACUAGUAGCAAGUUAUUAAUAACGUAGAUCACCUAAAGACAAACAUUUUGGUUUUAUUUAAUUCAGUUUGUAACAAUAUUUUGGGUGGUUGGUUUAAGUUAUUUAAUUAUGACAAUGUUGGUUUAUUUAUAAGGUUGGAUUAUUGAUGGAUAAUAUAGCCUUACAUUUGGGUUGUAGCCUAACUGUGGCGGUAAUACCCCUAAUUUAUUAUUUUAUGCUUCCGCUAUAAGACCUAAUCAGGUAUGGAAAUUGAGGGUGUUACAGUAUUA